RNAcentral lists this ribosomal RNA (476 nucleotides) under uncultured bacterium. RNAcentral's name for it is "bacterial SSU rRNA". It matches the Rfam family "Bacterial small subunit ribosomal RNA", at positions 28 to 496 of the family's 1533-position model. The record is from RNAcentral.
GACGAACGCUGGCGGCGUGCUUAACACAUGCAAGUCGAGCGGUAAGGCCCUUUCGGGGGUACACGAGCGGCGAACGGGUGAGUAACACGUGGGUGACCUGCCCUCAGCUCUGGGAUAAGCCUGGGAAACUGGGUCUAAUACUGGAUAUGACUCCACGGUGCAUGUCGUGGGGUGGAAAGUCUUGUGCGGCUGAGGAUGGGCCCGCGGCCUAUCAGCUUGUUGGUGGGGUGANGGCCUACCAAGGCGACGACGGGUAGCCGGCCUGAGAGGGCGACCGGCCACACUGGGACUGAGACACGGCCCAGACUCCUACGGGAGGCAGCAGUGGGGAAUAUUGGACAAUGGGCGCAAGCCUGAUCCAGCGAUGCCGCGUGUGUGAAGAAGGCCUGCGGGGUUGUAAAGCACUUUCAGUAGGGAAGAAAGCCGAGUGCUAAUAUCAUUCGGUUCUUGUACGUUACUUACAGAAGAAGCACCGG